RNAcentral lists this ribosomal RNA (490 nucleotides) under uncultured bacterium. RNAcentral describes it as "partial 16S ribosomal RNA". It matches the Rfam family "Bacterial small subunit ribosomal RNA", at positions 28 to 507 of the family's 1533-position model. The record is from RNAcentral.
GAUGAACGCUAGCUACAGGCUUAACACAUGCAAGUCGAGGGGAAACGAUGAGAGAGCUUGCUCUCUUAGGCGUCGACCGGCGCACGGGUGAGUAACGCGUAUCCAACCUACCCAUUACAGGGGGAUAACCUUGCGAAAGUAAGACUAAUACCCCAUGGCAUUUUAUGGUGGCAUCAUUAUAGGAUUAAAGAUUUAUUGGUAAUGGAUGGGGAUGCGUCUGAUUAGCUUGUUGGCGGGGUAACGGCCCACCAAGGCAACGAUCAGUAGGGGUUCUGAGAGGAAGGUCCCCCACAUUGGGACUGAGACACGGUCCAAACUCCUACGGGAGGCAGCAGUGAGGAAUAUUGGUCAAUGGGCGAGAGCUUGAACCAGCCAAGUAGCGUGCAGGAUGACGGCCCUAUGGGUUGUAAACUGCUUUUAUAGGGGAAUAAAGUGAGCUACGUGUAGUUUAUUGCAGGUACCCUAUGAAUAAGGACCGGCUAAUUCCGUG